UACAGAGGGUGCAAGCGUUAAUCGGAAUUACUGGGCGUAAAGCGCACGUAGGCGGUUAGUUAAGUUGGAUGUGAAAGCCCCGGGCUCAACCUGGGAAUUGCAUUCAAAACUGGCUAACUAGAGUAUGUGAGAGGGGGGUAGAAUUCCAAGUGUAGCGGUGAAAUGCGUAGAGAUCAGGAAGAACAUCGGUGGCGAAGGCGCUCUGCUGGACCAUAACUGACACUCAGGGACGAAAGCUAGGGGAGCGAAUGGG
This 253-nucleotide ribosomal RNA is filed under the name uncultured bacterium. Its description in RNAcentral is "partial 16S ribosomal RNA". It matches the Rfam family "Bacterial small subunit ribosomal RNA", at positions 524 to 776 of the family's 1533-position model. The record is from RNAcentral.